Long non-coding RNA from Lutra lutra (Eurasian river otter), 884 nucleotides. RefSeq lists it as uncharacterized. The record is from RefSeq and is a predicted model, not a curated record. The transcript has 5 exons. Lineage: Eukaryota; Metazoa; Chordata; Mammalia; Carnivora; Mustelidae.
CGAGUGCAUUUUUCAUUGAAACACACUGUGUCUUCCUGCCUUAAACAGUUAACAUAUAAUCCAGGAUCAUGUUAUGCUGUAUAAAUUGUCAGGUAAACAAAGUCCUGCACAGACAGGUGUUGGAAGUAAUGGCUGGUAUAACUUCAUUCGCUUUCUAGCAUGUGAAGCAUCAGGCUGGGUCCAGGGACCAAUGUGAGGAUGAUGGCCAGAGUUGAAACAACUAAGGACUUGGAAGCAGAAGCUGCACUUUUAGGACUAUAAAAAAUACUGAAACUAAAACAGAAACCUGCACUUUUGUCAUAGCCAGAUAAUGUGUAUGAGCUGCUUGACCUGUCUUGGUGAAAAGAGAGACCAACUGAAUAAUAUGAUCAGAUCUAUGGGAGAGGAAUAUUCAAGCUGAUAAGGCACAAUAGGACAACACAAAUAAGCACCAACAUACUCUGAAAUAAAUAAGUUCCAGACAUAGCUGGCAUUUCACAGCGCUCUCCAAGUGACCAUUCUAUGCAUCCUGUGCUCCGAUUCUAGAGACUCACAGGGAGAAUCAUUACAUUUUCAUUAUGGGUAUUUUCAGACUGAUGGGAUUUAAUAAAUCAUGAGACUUAAAAGAUGGACAAGUUAAUAAAGGAAAUAAAGAGGAAGAAAUACAAGACAGCAGAAGAAAACAUCCUUUUUGAAAAGAGUGAAAAGCCAAUCUCAGUUCACUCAGUGCUGUGUCUUGUUUUUCUUCCCCUUCUUUAUUUUUGGAACUCCUUUCAGGAUAAGUAGAGAGUAAUCUCCUGCAUCCCAGAUUAUACCUGAGUUCUCAGACAUUUCCCAGUUACUCAGAAGUUCACUGUGUUCCUAACCAUUUCAAAAAUACCAUGCAAGAAAUUAGUCAAAACAAA